AUUGAACGCUGGCGGGAUGCUUUACACAUGCAAGUCGAACGGCAGCGCGGACUUCGGUCUGGCGGCGAGUGGCGAACGGGUGAGUAAUGUAUCGGAACGUGCCCAGUAGCGGGGGAUAACUACGCGAAAGCGUAGCUAAUACCGCAUACGCCCUACGGGGGAAAGCAGGGGAUCGUAAGACCUUGCACUAUUGGAGCGGCCUAUGUCGGAUUAGCUAGUUGGUGAGGUAACGGCUCACCAAGGCGACGAUCCGUAGCUGGUUUGAGAGGACGAUCAGCCACACUGGGACUGAGACACGGCCCAGACUCCUACGGGAGGCAGCAGUGGGGAAUUUUGGACAAUGGGGGCAACCCUGAUCCAGCCAUCCCGCGUGUGCGAUGAAGGCCUUCGGGUUGUAAAGCACUUUUGGCAGGAAAGAAACGUAGCGGGCUAAUACCCCGUGGAACUGACGGUACCUGCAGAAUAAGCACCGGCUAACUACGUG
RNAcentral lists this ribosomal RNA (484 nucleotides) under uncultured bacterium. Its description in RNAcentral is "partial 16S ribosomal RNA". It matches the Rfam family "Bacterial small subunit ribosomal RNA", at positions 30 to 507 of the family's 1533-position model. The record is from RNAcentral.